GAAUGAUUUCAAGUYUGGCCUGCCCACUGAUGUUUAAAUGGCCGCGGUAUAUUGACCGUGCAAAGGUAGCAUAGUCACUAGUUUUUUAAUUGAAAGCUUGUAUGAAGGGUUUGAUGAGAGACAUCCUGUCUCUGAGGGAGUUUGUUAGAAUUUUAUUUUUAAGUGAAAAAGCUUAGAUUUAUGUAAAAGACGAGAAGACCCUAUAGAGUUUAACUAGUAAAGUGAUAUUAGAGAUUAAGGAUUUAUGUUUAGAUUUGUUUUUACUAGUUUUGUUGGGGUGAUUUAAAAAUUGGGUUAACUUUUUUUUAAUUUAAAUACUGAUGUGUAGGUAAUUGAUCCUUGGAUAGAGAUUAGAAGAAUAAAUUACCUUAGGGAUAACAGCGUAAUUUUUUUUAGAGUUCUUAUUGAAAAAAAGGAUUGCGACCUCGAUGUUGGAUUAAAAUAAAUUAUUGGUGCAGGAGCUAAUAAGGAAGGUCUGUUCGACCUUUAAAAUUUUACAUGAUCUGAGUU
This 510-nucleotide ribosomal RNA is filed under the name Trigonopterus heberti. RNAcentral describes it as "partial large subunit ribosomal RNA". The record is from RNAcentral. Lineage: Eukaryota; Metazoa; Arthropoda; Insecta; Coleoptera; Curculionidae.